UGCGGCUGCCAUGCAGGAAGCGCGGGCGAUCAGCCUCAAAUCCUUAAAGGAUGCACAGAAAAGAGCAUUAGAGCCCUGAUCCGUCAUCUCCUGAGCUGCGGCAGCGCCUGGGAACACCGGGUGUCAUCACAACCCCCCGGGGACAGAAAUCCCUCUGGUUUGUGGGCACGGGACUGAUCCUGACGGCACUGCUUGGAGAGGGGAGAGCGUGAGCAGGGGCUCGCCUACGCGUACUGCAGCCCCCCUGGAUGAGAGGCUGUCCCUCGGUGCCGGACACAAAGCAGCCCCUGUCUUGCCUCGAGGUUUCCCUGCCCAGAAGCAAUGCAAACAGGGGGGACAGCCGCUGCUGCUGCUCGGCUUUGAGAUUGAGAAGGGAGACGGCGAAGAGGCGAAAGAGCAGGGGCCAUGGCCGGUCUCAGCCCUGGGGUUGUGGGGGGGAUGCAGCCCCCCCCCGGCCGUGCUCGUAGGUUACCGGCUGCAGACCGGGGAGGGGGCUUUUCCAGGCUGCCACCCGAACUAGCUUUAAAUAAAACCUGAGCUGCUGCGAGUGCUGAGGGCCAGGGCGA
Molecule: long non-coding RNA, 566 nt
Organism: Harpia harpyja (harpy eagle)
Lineage: Eukaryota; Metazoa; Chordata; Aves; Accipitriformes; Accipitridae
Exons: 2
Source: RefSeq, a predicted model, not a curated record